CAGCCGCCGCGGUAAUACGUAGGGUGCGAGCGUUAAUCGGAAUUACUGGGCGUAAAGCGCACGUAGGCGGAUUUUUAAGUCAGGGGUGAAAUCCCGAGGCUCAACCUCGGAACUGCCUUUGAUACUGGAGAUCUUGAGUUCGGAAGAGGUUGGUGGAACAGCUAGUGUAGAGGUGAAAUUCGUAGAUAUUAGCUAGAACACCAGUGGCGAAGGCGGCCAACUGGUCCGACACUGACGCUGAGGUGCGAAAGCGUGGGGAGCAAACAGGAUUAGAUACCCCUGUAGUCCCUGUCUCUUAUAC
Molecule: ribosomal RNA, 301 nt
Filed under: uncultured bacterium
Lineage: Bacteria
Description: partial 16S ribosomal RNA
Rfam family: Bacterial small subunit ribosomal RNA
Source: RNAcentral